GGCCGCCUGGCGAAAUGGUAUCGCGUCUGACUACGACUCGUACAAAUCAGGAGAUUGCAGGUUCGAGCCCUGCGGUGGUCA
RNAcentral lists this transfer RNA (81 nucleotides) under Rhizoctonia solani AG-8 WAC10335. It matches the Rfam family "tRNA". Rfam says of the family: Transfer RNA (tRNA) molecules are approximately 80 nucleotides in length. Their secondary structure includes four short double-helical elements and three loops (D, anti-codon, and T loops). The record is from Rfam by way of RNAcentral. Lineage: Eukaryota; Fungi; Basidiomycota; Agaricomycetes; Cantharellales; Ceratobasidiaceae.